UAGCUCAUAAACCUCUUCCUGUGGCCUGAAGCACUAACAUUCCCAUACCUAGCUGGAAGAUCAGCUUUAGCCACUUAAAAGAUUACCCAGUGGAGACAUAAUCUGGGCUGCCCAUGCUGCCAAGGGAUAUAAACCUUUGCUCAUUCAGUGCAAUGGGAUAAUCAGUAACUGAACAAACCGGCAGAUGUGAGGUCUGGAGUGUUUUCCCCAGCCCACACAAAGACUGAACAACACAGCUCUUCUGUUGUCUGCCUUGUGAAAAUAGACCUCGAGUUCAAGGCUGUGUACAGUGGUUGGAUUUUUCUCAAGCCAUUGGAGUUCCAGCCAUUGCAGAGAUCUGUGUGCUGCUACAAACACCCACAGUCUUGGCACUGAAACCUCAAGUUAUUGUAAAUCAAGAUCCUCCUUUCACUGAGGUAAUGAAGAACUGGUAAACUCAGCAUUUCAUGGUGUUUGAUCCAUAUUCUACUGCAGAAUGUACCAGCUACCAGCCUACAGUGCCAUGGACCGACCCAUGUGAUGUUUCCUUCCUUUUCCCAGAACUAUAAUGCAUGAGAAGUCCUCACAAGGAAAGAAGUGGUCUUCCUUUACUUCAAAUAUUUAAGCUCAGCCUGGAUGACUAACACACGUGCUCUAAGCCUGGCUCAAAGGGAAAUUAUGGCUUCAAUUCCUGACUACUCUUCUGUGGCUUGUUAUCUGUUCUGGAUUUGACAGAGGGCCCUGUGAAAAAGUUGUGGGUAAAAUCCUGUGUCACAGCAGCAGAGUUUCUAUUGCAUGGGAGCCUUGACUUCUGAAGAUAUUUUUGGGCAAUGUCUUUAUGCAUUCAUCCUGUACAUGUGCCUCAGUCAACCCUUCCUGACAUAUUUACCAUGCCAUGUGGAUGUUGUCUCCACAGAGGAAAUCUCAACAUCAUCCAAGGAAUACACCAUCUUUUCUAUGAGAGAAGGAUCUAAUAUUUCAUUGCCUCACAUCUAGAAUUGAAAAAGCAGUAUUUCCAAACUGCUGUGGAGUAUGAAUUGAGGGUGACUUCUAAUGGAUGGCUGCUCUACAUGAAGCUGGGAGUUAAACCUUCAAUGAAAUGUAGUUUUACCAUAGAAUCUUUCCCUUUCCAUCUGUUCCUUGGAUUUAGAUUUCUAGUGUUUCAUUGUGUUCAUAUUAUCAUGCAGCACUAUGUCUGGCGUAGGUAUUAAAAUGUCUGGGUGUGCAGGUUCCAUAAUCCUAAUGCUGGCUUCAUCUUUCAUGGGUUGUAAUACUUGGUUUGCUGUAUUUUUUUAUUGUUACCACUGUAAUUGUGUUGUGAGGGCCCUUACUCCAGCUCUGGCUUGUUAAAUAAAUAGAACAUAUCCUUGUGUCUCAUGCCUCCGCGUCUGGAAGGGAUUUAAACCUCUUCUUUUGUCUGUAUAUUUUGGCUGAGCUAAGAAUUUCUCUUGAAAGACCCUGCAAGUUUCAGGGUAUGUGUGUAUUAUACAGAGUUUGCUUUCAUUAAGUUGUGCAUUAUUACAGCUUUGUUUGUGUUUGGGGUGUUGAGAAUCACAGAGGCCAGUUCCUUUUAAACACUAAAGAGUACAAAUACCCAGGAAUAUGCAUCUUGAUUGAUGCAGCUGCCACUGCGGUUCACAUGUGGUGUAAGUCUACGCUGUUGUGUUUCCUAAACAGCGGGUUUCAUAGACUGUAUCAUCUCAUGGUGGCAUCUG
Athene cunicularia (burrowing owl) is the source of this 1694-nucleotide long non-coding RNA. RefSeq lists it as uncharacterized. The record is from RefSeq and is a predicted model, not a curated record. NCBI's taxonomy places the organism in Eukaryota, Metazoa, Chordata, Aves, Strigiformes, Strigidae. The transcript has 8 exons.